UCCCAGGUGGCUUAGUGGUAAAGAGUCUGCCUGCAAUGCAGGAGACACGAGAGAUUAGGGUUUGAUUCCUGGGUUGGGAA
Molecule: transfer RNA, 80 nt
Filed under: Ovis aries (sheep)
Lineage: Eukaryota; Metazoa; Chordata; Mammalia; Artiodactyla; Bovidae
Rfam family: tRNA
About the family: Transfer RNA (tRNA) molecules are approximately 80 nucleotides in length. Their secondary structure includes four short double-helical elements and three loops (D, anti-codon, and T loops).
Source: Rfam by way of RNAcentral